This 460-nucleotide ribosomal RNA is filed under the name uncultured bacterium. Its description in RNAcentral is "partial 16S ribosomal RNA". It matches the Rfam family "Bacterial small subunit ribosomal RNA", at positions 338 to 795 of the family's 1533-position model. The record is from RNAcentral.
CCUACGGGUGGCAGCAGUGAGGAAUAUUGGUCAAUGGACGAGAGUCUGAACCAGCCAAGUAGCGUGAAGGAUGAAUGCCCUAUGGGUUGUAAACUUCUUUUAUAUGGGAAUAAAAUGUUCCACGUGUGGGAUUUUGUAUGUACCAUAUGAAUAAGGAUCGUCUAACUCCGUGCCAGCAGCCGCGGUAAUACGGAGGAUCCGCGCGUUAUCCGGAUUGAUUGGGUUUAAAGGGAGCGUAGGUGGAUGGUUAAGUCAGGUGUGAAAGUUUGCGGCUCAACCGUAACAUUGCAGUUGAAACUGGCAGUCGUGAGUACAGUAGAGGUGAGCGGAAUUCGUGGUGUAGCGGUGAAAUGCUUAGAUAUCACGAAGAACACCGAUUGCGAAGGCAGUUCACUGGACUGCAACUGACACUGAGGCUCGAAAGUGUGGGUAUCAAACAGGAUUAGAUACCCGAGUAGUC